Gopherus flavomarginatus (Mexican gopher tortoise) is the source of this 260-nucleotide long non-coding RNA. RefSeq lists it as uncharacterized. The record is from RefSeq and is a predicted model, not a curated record. NCBI's taxonomy places the organism in Eukaryota, Metazoa, Chordata, Testudines, Testudinidae. The transcript is spliced from 3 exons.
AGAGUGGGCUCUGCUGGACCCCACUCAGAGAGCCCUCUACUGGGAUGUCAUGCAGGAGAACUAUGAGACUGUGACCUCGCUGGGCCAGAGAAUAACAUCCAUGUUUUGCUGCAGAUCAUCUCGUCCUCCCAGGGGCAAGGAAAUGGCUGCAAUGGAGCUGGCUCAGGGGCCGGUGACCUUCGAGGAGGUGGCUGUGUAUUUCUCCAGGGAAGAGGGGACUCUGCUGGACCCCACUCAGAGAGCCCUCUACAGAGAUGUCA